GGAGCAUGUGGCUUAAUUUGACUCAACGCGGGAAAUCUUACCGGGUCCGGACACACUGAGGAUUGACAGGCAAUAUUAUACUAAAACACGCACUCUCUCUAUAUCACACACUCGUGUGUGACGUGUGUGUGUGUGUGUGUGUUGCUGUAAAUGUGAGAAUCUGAUCUUCCUUUCAUGAUUAUGUGAGAGGUGGUGCAUGCACGUUCUGAGUUGAUGUAUCGGUCUGUCUGCGUAUUUGCAUUUCGCUAAUAGGCUGAGAAUAUGCUUAUAUACUUAUAAACAUUAACACGCGUUUUUCUGUAUGUGUGUAUAUGUAUAUAUUUUUAACUCUUAGACGCUCAAAAAUGAGAGCGUGACCUCGUGCUCUUUUUACUCUAUUCUUAUACACACGCGCACAAGAGAGACAGCGGUGUCACUCUUUCACUCUCACAAGAGUGUGAGAGUUAUAACGCAGUGUGAC
RNAcentral lists this ribosomal RNA (460 nucleotides) under Elphidium sp. RNAcentral describes it as "SSU rRNA". It matches the Rfam family "Eukaryotic small subunit ribosomal RNA", at positions 1178 to 1430 of the family's 1831-position model. The record is from RNAcentral. Lineage: Eukaryota; Foraminifera; Rotaliida; Elphidiidae.